UACGUAGGGCGCAAGCGUUGUCCGGAAUUAUUGGGCGUAAAGAGCUCGUAGGCGGCCUGUUACGUCUGCUGUGAAAUCCCGGGGCUUAACCCCGGGCGUGCAGUGGAUACGGGCAGGCUGGAGGCAGGCAGGGGAGAACGGAAUUCCCGGUGUAGCGGUGGAAUGCGCAGAUAUCAGGAGGAACACCGGUGGCGAAGGCGGGUCUCUGGGCCGUUACUGACGCUGAGGAGCGAAAGCGUGGGGAGCGAACAGG
RNAcentral lists this ribosomal RNA (253 nucleotides) under uncultured bacterium. RNAcentral describes it as "partial 16S ribosomal RNA". It matches the Rfam family "Bacterial small subunit ribosomal RNA", at positions 524 to 776 of the family's 1533-position model. The record is from RNAcentral.